This 720-nucleotide ribosomal RNA is filed under the name Clitopilus chrischonensis. Its description in RNAcentral is "eukaryotic LSU rRNA". It matches the Rfam family "Eukaryotic large subunit ribosomal RNA", at positions 66 to 772 of the family's 3401-position model. Lineage: Eukaryota; Fungi; Basidiomycota; Agaricomycetes; Agaricales; Entolomataceae. The record is from RNAcentral.
UAACAAGGAUUCCCCUAGUAACUGCGAGUGAAGCGGGAAAAGCUCAAAUUUAAAAUCUGGUAGUCUCUGGCUGCCCGAGUUGUAAUCUAGAGAAGCGUUAUCCGCGCUGGACCGUGUAUAAGUCUCCUGGAAUGGAGCGUCAUAGAGGGUGAGAAUCCCGUCUUUGACACGGACUACCAGGGCUUUGUGAUGCGCUCUCAAAGAGUCGAGUUGUUUGGGAAUGCAGCUCUAAAUGGGUGGUAAAUUCCAUCUAAAGCUAAAUAUUGGCGAGAGACCGAUAGCGAACAAGUACCGUGAGGGAAAGAUGAAAAGAACUUUGGAAAGAGAGUUAAACAGUACGUGAAAUUGUUGAAAGGGAAACGCUUGAAGUCAGUCGCGUUGGCUAGGAAUCAGCCUUGCUUUUGCUUGGUGUACUUCCUUGUUGACGGGUCAGCAUCAAUUUUGACCGGUGGAAAAAGGCUAGUGGAAUGUGGCAUCUUCGGAUGUGUUAUAGCUGCUAGUUGUAUACAUCGGUUGGGAUUGAGGAACUCAGCACGCCGAAAGGUCGGGGUUUUACCCACGUUCGUGCUUAGGAUGCUGGCAUAAUGGCUUUAAUCGACCCGUCUUGAAACACGGACCAAGGAGUCUAACAUGCCUGCGAGUGUUUGGGUGGAAAACCCGAGCGCGUAAUGAAAGUGAAAGUUGAGAUCCCUGUCGUGGGGAGCAUCGACGCCCGGACCU